RNAcentral lists this long non-coding RNA (3301 nucleotides) under Capsicum annuum. RNAcentral describes it as "long non-coding RNA (CANN_LNC008624)". The record is from RNAcentral. Lineage: Eukaryota; Viridiplantae; Streptophyta; Magnoliopsida; Solanales; Solanaceae.
UAAGAAAACCCUAAACAGGGCUUUAAAUAGUUCACCUUAAUUAUGGAAAAAAAAUAAUAAAAUUCAGAAAUUCUUCGAAUUAGGUGACGACAUUUGUGAUAGCUUAUCAAGAGGCUGAUGACUUAUCACAAAUGUUGUCAGCUCCUUCUUCAAUUUUGGCUCUUCCUGCUUAAGGCUAACCACAAUCUUGAUGACUUAUCAACUCCUUGACGACCUAUCACAAAAUGUCGUCAAGGCGCUGCUUCAGUUCUCCUGUGCUGCCUCAGGCUGACGACAUUCUUGAUAGCUUAUCAGAUCCUUGACGACCUAUCACAAAAUAUCAUCACAGCUUUCAAUCUUAGGUCAAUUCUCUAUUUAUGUCUAACGAUGAAUCUGAUAGCUUAUCACAAGGCUGACGACUUAUCAGAAAUGUCGUCAGACACACUUUUGCCUCUAUCUACUUCUGAUUUCAACUCCUUUGCUUCCAUUCUUGUUGGUUCUCUAUCAUAUUAGCUUCUACUGCAAAAUCAAACAUAAACCAAUCAAAAACAAUAAAAGUUUCUUAAGACUUCGCAAUUAUUCUUAGUUAAAAGCCUCAAAUAUGUUAGCAUUAGCUCACACAUCAGUUUUAUUGAUUUGAUACGGAGAUUGAUUUCAAGCAACUAUUAUUCAGUGAAAGAAAGAGGGGUGAAAUAAGGUAAUCCUCUAUCUCCUACUUUAUUUAUAUAAUCAAUUGAAGUACUCUCUACGGCUCUAAACUCUCUUUUGAGGAUGAUAAGUUUGUAGGUUAUGAGAUGCCUAAGUGGAAUACAAUUGUACCUCCUGUUUUUGUGAUUAAAGAGCUCCAUAAAGUUUUUGCAAAAUUCUUUUGGACUAAUAAGGAAUCAGGCAGAAGUGAACACUGGUCAGCAUGGAACAAAGUAUGUUUUCCUAAAAAGGAGGGUGGACUUGAUUUAGAUCUCUAUUUGAUGUUUCAAAGGCCUUGUACGCUAAAUUAUUGUGGAAAUUCAGGACACAAAAUAGUUUAUGGUCUAACAUUCUUAGGAACAAAUAUUGUAAGAAGCAGAUCCCUUCUCUUUUUCAAUGGUAGGGUAGUUCUCAGGUAUGGAAAUUUAUGUUGCAGAAUGGAGACAUAAUUGAGCAAGGAUUAUGGUCGGAACCUAGAGGAGGCACAAUAACUGUAUGGUUUGACAAUUGGACUAAUUUAGGCCGUUUUUUAAAUAUCCUUCAGAAAUGCCUACUUGUCAUGACUUUAAUGAGACGUAGGACCUAGUUCUUGGUUAUGUGGUAGAACAUGUGAAGAGUACUACAAAAAGAAGUGUUGUGCAAUCAAAGUGAUAAACCAUGAUGGAUUCACACAAGCUCUGGCACUUUUACAGCCAGUAGUGCAUGGAAUCUUCUUAAACAAAGGAAAGAAGCAAAUGAAGACCUGCAACUUAUUUGGAGUAAAGGCUUUCCCUUUAAAAUCUCAUUUCCUGUGUGGAGAAUGUGGCAUGGUAUUGUUCCAGUCGCAGAUCUGAUGUCCAGAAUCCUAACACUUCACAUGAUUGUAGGUGUUGUUUAAAUCCGGAGAGGGAGACCAUAAAACAUUUGGUUUUUAAAGGGGAAACAGCUAGCACAGUCUGGAACUACUUCACAAAGGCAGCUAGUUUUAAUCCUCUCAAUUAUCUUAAGGACAGUGUUAGAGAAUGGUGGAACUUUCAAGGAAACGAAAGAGUAAGGAUUAAUUUUCAGGUGGUUCCUAUCGCCAUGUUGUGGUUUUUAUGGAAAAAAAAAAAAAGAAAUACUAUACUGCAUAGAGAAAAAUAUUCUACUGGUAAAGUUCUUUUUUUUAUAUCACUAGUUCCAUAAUAAAGUUCCUAAAAGCUAGAUUAAAUAUGAAUUGUGACAACAAAAACUGGGUAGAAUUGUAGCAAUUUUGGAAGGGUAUAGACCUAAUUACUCUUUCAAAAUAGUAAGAUGGUAUCCUCCUCCAGAAAAUUGGCUUAAGUGCAACAUUGAUGAUGCUUCUAGAGAGAACCGGGGCCUAGCGCAACAGCCUUCAACAUUAGAAACCAUGAUGGAGAUUUGGUUGUGGCCAAGGGAUACCUUAUACAAGAAAUUACAAUCUUGCGGGGCAGAGGCUGGAGCUAUCAGAGAAAGCCUACAGUUUUACAAAGAGAAGUAGCGAUUUAAUGUUAUUAUUGAGACUGAUUCACUGUCCAUCGUUCACAUUCUGUAAAGGAAGUGGGAAACACCUUCGUCUUUAUUAGUUGAAGUCAAGGAAAUCAACACUCUAAUGGAAAUUUUAUCAGCAAGAGUACAAUAUUCCCUUCGGAAAGGAAAUACUCUUGCUGAUUUUUUCACUAACCUGGUUUUUGUUUUUGCACGUGAAUUUCACAUAGAGAAUUUACAGGAUGUGCCUAGUGACGGAAGAAAAUUACUACAGCUAGACAAACAAGGAACACCAAACAUUCGCAGGAGCAAAAUGGAUUAAUACAUAUGCAUAGGUUAAAAGAUUUGGACCAGAUUUACUACAAAUAGCUUAGUUUUCACAGAAGAGAGUACAAAUAAGUACGUCGGAAGAAAAUUCAUAUGAUGGAGUAUAGCACCUAGUGAGAGUUUAGGGUGUUCAAAGAUACAAAAUCAAGACGUGAAUAUUUGCAAGUGCACUCGGAUCUGUCAACAGUGCUAGGUUGACAGGUGAAUCUGCAACAGGUCAUAAGAGAACAUUAGUAAAUCCCUUUAAAAGCUUUUUCCACCUUAUUUUUUAAUGGAACAGAUGGCGGUAUCAAUCUCUAGUUAGAUUUAACCCAUCAUUCAAUUGAAAAAUGGGCAAAUUAAGCCUUAAGGAAAAGAGAGUUCUUAGCUUUCAAGGGUAGAGUAGAACUGAUUUUCACCUCAAACGUCUAUUAGCCGUGUAGCGAGAUCGAAGUUUAAGCGUUAAAGCUUUGAAGCAAUUCAAGUAUAAGAAUGGAGUUUGUUGGAUUUCAUCGAGAUUUCAACAAUCAAGAACCCCAAGUAUCAAUUCAGAUGAUGACCUUCAUCUUUCUUAGAUGGUAGCUCCGUAUUUUCGGAAUUUUAAGGAAUGAUGAUUUUCUUGGUAGCUCAAGCUGAACUUUUCAGCUGACUACUUUCCUAAUAUGUUUCGGGUGAUGUCUGGUUUUGUAAGUGUUUCUGGGCCAGGCCAUUAUUGGGCCUGGUUUUUGCAUAUUUACGGACCCAUUUUGAUUUAAUAAAGUAUAAAUAACAUAAAUACCAACCAUUUUGGAAGUAAUUACACUCUCUCCCACUUUUUUAAUUACUUUACUCUCUUUCCUUAUUAACAUACAUAACAUAGUCG